This 513-nucleotide ribosomal RNA is filed under the name Megasoma actaeon. RNAcentral describes it as "partial 16S ribosomal RNA". It matches the Rfam family "Bacterial large subunit ribosomal RNA", at positions 1819 to 2600 of the family's 2925-position model. The record is from RNAcentral. Lineage: Eukaryota; Metazoa; Arthropoda; Insecta; Coleoptera; Scarabaeidae.
GUCUUUUUGAUUAUAAUUUAAAGUCUAACCUGCCCAAUGAGGAGUUAAAUGGCCGCGGUAAUUUGACCGUGCAAAGGUAGCAUAAUCAUUAGUUUUUUAAUUGGAAGCUGGUAUGAACGGUUGGACGAGAAAAUAACUGUCUCAAUUUAAUUGAUAAUAGAAUUUUAUCUAUAAGUAAAAAAGCUUAUAUUAGUUUAAAAGACGAGAAGACCCUAUAGAAUUUUAUAGUUACAUAUUUAUUUAAUAGUUAGAGUUGAAAGUUAGUUAGAUAUGACGCUAUUUCGUUGGGGCGAUGGAAAAAUUGAUUGAACUUUUUUUUGUUUUAUUUCAUUGAUUUAUGAGUUAUUGAUCCGUUUGUAACGAUUAUAAGAUAAAAUUACCUUAGGGAUAACAGCGUAAUUUUUUUUUAGAGUUCUUAUCGAAAAAAGAGUUUGCGACCUCGAUGUUGGAUUAAAAUUAACUUUUGGUGUAGGGGCUAAGGGGUUAGGUCUGUUCGACCUUUAAAAUUUUAGA